RNAcentral lists this ribosomal RNA (277 nucleotides) under uncultured bacterium. Its description in RNAcentral is "partial 16S ribosomal RNA". It matches the Rfam family "Bacterial small subunit ribosomal RNA", at positions 28 to 309 of the family's 1533-position model. The record is from RNAcentral.
GACGAACGCUGGCGGCGUGCUUAACACAUGCAAGUCGAGCGGAAAGGCCCUUCGGGGUACUCGAGCGGCGAACGGGUGAGUAACACGUGAGCAACUUGCCCUCAGCUCUGGGAUAGCUCCGGGAAACCGGAAUUAAUACCGGAUAUGACCCUGACUGACAUCAGACAGGGUGGAAAGGGUUUCCGGCUGAGGAUGGGCUCGCGGCCUAUCAGCUAGUUGGUGGGGUAACGGCCUACCAAGGCGACGACGGGUAGCCGGCCUGAGAGGGCGACCGGCC